This 253-nucleotide ribosomal RNA is filed under the name uncultured bacterium. Its description in RNAcentral is "partial 16S ribosomal RNA". It matches the Rfam family "Bacterial small subunit ribosomal RNA", at positions 524 to 776 of the family's 1533-position model. The record is from RNAcentral.
UACGAAGGGGGCUAGCGUUGCUCGGAAUCACUGGGCGUAAAGGGUGCGUAGGCGGGUCUUUAAGUCAGGGGUGAAAUCCUGGAGCUCAACUCCAGAACUGCCUUUGAUACUGAAGAUCUUGAGGUCGGGAGAGGUGAGUGGAACUGCGAGUGUAGAGGUGAAAUUCGUAGAUAUUCGCAAGAACACCAGUGGCGAAGGCGGCGCACUGGCCCGAUACUGACGCUGAGGCACGAAAGCGUGGGGAGCAAACAGG